GUUGCGUCACGAGUCGACUUAAUCACGACUUAUGAGUGACAAUAUACUCGAUGUCGAAGGCAUUGUAACCCAACAAGUGGGGAGUUUGAUUUGGUUGGGACAAAUCGAACGAUCUGCGGUAGCAACGAUAAUGGUGUGGUAUGGAUGCAAUUUGAGCCAUGCCCAAUGUUGUUGUUACUUUUGUUGAUGAAUGUUGUUGAAUGCUGCUGGUUUUAUGCGUUGUUGAAGAUGACAUUCGUCUCGAGGUGAUGCGGUGUCAUGUUGCUUGUGUAUCCUGGUUUGUAGCUAUUCAGCUUAAAACACGUGRAUUAUCGGUUAGUGACACGGCAUCGCUCCCUUGGUUGAUGAAAGUCUUCCAAUGAUGCAGUGGUUUGUUUGUUUUGUUCUCGUAUCGCUCGGUGCAUUCUGUGGUCAUUUUGGCUGUUAGCGGCUUGCUUGGCAAUUGAGCUUGGUGGGUGGCUACCGGUUGGGUGUCUUCGGGGAUGUCUACCGUAAAGGUGCAUGAGUGGUGUUUGGUUUGUUACGGGUGGAUGGCUCUUUGCUUGCGCAACAACUUCCACCUGGCAUACCUCUUCAGUCUUGUGUCAAUGCUUGUAUUGCGUUGAAUGCGCGGCGGGUUUCUUGUGUUGCAUGCCUAAUUAAUGGUAUCGUUUGAUGAAUUGGUUUUCCUUUCGUCUUGUGUUGCUCAUGCGAUGUGAGAUGAACCUUGAAGCAGCCUUAGKGAUCCACUCUUUUGAUGCAUACGCAUUGAUUUUGUGGCUCGUUGAGUGUUGCUUGGUCUCAUGGAUAUGGAACAUGGUGUGGGCAUGGAAUCUUAAUGGUUCUUUGUUUGCCCAAGUUUAGCUUUUCUAAAACGAUUGUCU
This 863-nucleotide unclassified non-coding RNA is filed under the name Helichrysum cryptomerioides. RNAcentral's name for it is "contains 5' external transcribed spacer, ETS". The record is from RNAcentral. Lineage: Eukaryota; Viridiplantae; Streptophyta; Magnoliopsida; Asterales; Asteraceae.